GAGAUGUUAGUAAAAUAUUAUACUGCCUUGUCAAGGCAGAGUCGCGGGCGAAACCCCCGCACACCUUA
RNAcentral lists this transfer RNA (68 nucleotides) under Alytes obstetricans boscai. Its description in RNAcentral is "tRNA-Asp". It matches the Rfam family "tRNA". From Rfam's summary of the family: Transfer RNA (tRNA) molecules are approximately 80 nucleotides in length. Their secondary structure includes four short double-helical elements and three loops (D, anti-codon, and T loops). Further hydrogen bonds mediate the characteristic L-shaped molecular structure. tRNAs have two regions of fundamental functional importance: the anti-codon, which is responsible for specific mRNA codon recognition, and the 3' end, to which the tRNAs corresponding amino acid is attached (by aminoacyl-tRNA synthetases). tRNAs cope with the degeneracy of the genetic code in two manners: having more than one tRNA (with a specific anti-codon) for a particular amino acid; and 'wobble' base-pairing, i.e. permitting non-standard base-pairing at the 3rd anti-codon position. The record is from RNAcentral. RNAcentral also lists the same sequence under 3 other names. Lineage: Eukaryota; Metazoa; Chordata; Amphibia; Anura; Alytidae.